UGAAAAACCGUGAAUCAGAAAGGUACCCAUCAUUAUCGGCGCACCUUCAGGAAGCUCUGCUGCAUGGGUGAAGUUCAGUCGACCCUAGCGAACUUGCACCUUGGGCCUCUUCCCCUUGUUGAGCGUUGCAUUGCUCUGCCCUGGGCGCGGGCUCUGAUUUCUGGGGCAGUCCUUGGCGAAAUGCCCCACAUCGCCGCAGGCAAAAUAGCGGUUACCCGUUGCAGGGCGUGGGGGUGGCGGCAGGGUUGGCCGGGGCGCCUGUGGUUGGAAACCAGGAAAACGGGGCGCUGCUACUAGCGGGGGUCAGGCAAUCCAUCUUCCCGACUGCUGGGGUCGGCUGGGCGCCUGGGGUGGAACCAUUCUGAAACGCUGCCCAGGUGGACUGGGCGUUGGCAGUGGGGCUUUCCUCUUCCUCUCGGCUGCCAGAGCCUUCAUGGAGUCCUCUUGUGAGAUAGCCAGGUUGACCAACUCAUUGUACGUAUCGACCCUUAUCGGGUUUAACCUUUCUCUAAGCUCCAAGCUUAGCCCUUUGCGGAAUCUGUCCCGCUUCUUCUCGUCGGUGUCCGCGUGAUAUCCGGCAUAACGACACAGAUCGUUGAAGGCUUGGGCGUAGUGUAGCACAUCUCGGUUUCCCUAGGUAAGAGCCAGGAAUUCAUUGAGCUUGCGCUCCAGGAGACCCUCCGGAAUGUGGUGUGCUC
Molecule: long non-coding RNA, 698 nt
Filed under: Setaria viridis
Lineage: Eukaryota; Viridiplantae; Streptophyta; Magnoliopsida; Poales; Poaceae
Description: long non-coding RNA (SVIR_LNC006865)
Source: RNAcentral